Molecule: signal recognition particle RNA, 298 nt
Filed under: Otolemur garnettii (small-eared galago)
Lineage: Eukaryota; Metazoa; Chordata; Mammalia; Primates; Galagidae
Description: Metazoan signal recognition particle RNA
Rfam family: Metazoan signal recognition particle RNA
About the family: The signal recognition particle (SRP) is a universally conserved ribonucleoprotein. It is involved in the co-translational targeting of proteins to membranes.
Source: Rfam by way of RNAcentral
GCCAGGCAGGUUACCACACCUGUAUUUCAAGCUACUUGGGAGACUGAGAGAGAAGGUUCUUGUGAGUUCUGGGGUUCUGGGCUUUAGUGUGCUACUCCCAUCCAGUGUCUGCAGUAAGUGAGGCAUCAACAUGAUGAUCUCCAGGUGGGGGAGACCACCAGGUUGCCUAAGGAGCAGGUGAAUGGACCCAGUUCAGAAACAGAGCACGUCAAAACUCCUAUGCUGAUCAGUAGCAGGGUCAGCCUGUGAGUGGUCACUGCACUCUGGCCUGGGCAACUACAUAUUGAGUUGCACUUGU